CUUAGCUCAGUGGUUAGAGCAGGCGACUCAUAAUCGCUUGGUCGCUGGUUCAAGUCCAGCAG
RNAcentral lists this transfer RNA (62 nucleotides) under Salmonella enterica. Its description in RNAcentral is "tRNA-Met". It matches the Rfam family "tRNA", at positions 6 to 65 of the family's 71-position model. Rfam says of the family: Transfer RNA (tRNA) molecules are approximately 80 nucleotides in length. Their secondary structure includes four short double-helical elements and three loops (D, anti-codon, and T loops). The record is from RNAcentral. Lineage: Bacteria; Pseudomonadati; Pseudomonadota; Gammaproteobacteria; Enterobacterales; Enterobacteriaceae. RNAcentral also lists the same sequence under 4 other names.